This 68-nucleotide transfer RNA is filed under the name Paratapes textilis (textile venus clam). Its description in RNAcentral is "Paphia textile (textile venus clam) tRNA-Gln". The record is from RNAcentral. Lineage: Eukaryota; Metazoa; Mollusca; Bivalvia; Venerida; Veneridae.
AAUAGGAUAGUGUAAUGCGCACGUGGAGUUUUGGGUUCCAAAGAGAUGAUUCAAUUCGUUUUCUAUUU